This 280-nucleotide ribosomal RNA is filed under the name uncultured bacterium. RNAcentral's name for it is "partial 16S ribosomal RNA". It matches the Rfam family "Bacterial small subunit ribosomal RNA", at positions 28 to 311 of the family's 1533-position model. The record is from RNAcentral.
GACGAACGCUGGCGGCGUGCUUAACACAUGCAAGUCGAGCGGAAAGGCCCUUCGGGGUACUCGAGCGGCGAACGGGUGAGUAACACGUGGGUAACCUGCCCUUCACUCUGGGAUAACUCCGGGAAACCGGGCUAAUACCGGAUACGACCACUUUAGGCAUCUUCGGUGGUGGAAAGUUUUUCGGUGGAGGAUGGACCCGGCGGCCUAUCAGCUUGUUGGGUGGGGUAAUGGCCUACCAAGGCAGUGACGGGUAGCCGGCCNGAGAGGGGCGACCGGCCAC